UUGCGUUUCGGUUGUCAAGUUUCCUUGGUGUGUCAUCGGCUAGUGUAGUUGUGACGGGAGUGACUGGGAGUGACUAUUCGAAAUUGUUCGAGGUUCGAGGUGACCAGAUAGAUCGGUUAGAUCGGUUAGAUAGGCAUGUAGCUGAAUUGGUGAAAGAGGUUUGAGUCACUUUCUAGUGGACGAGGCCAGGAAAGACGUUUUGCUAUAAAAAGAAAAUGGGAUCCAUCUCAAAAGAAGCAUAAAAGGCAUGGACCACCACCAUUACUUGGAACGACGAGUAGCACCCCAGUCACUCCUACCAAGAUGAAUGUAUAAAAGAAAUGUAUCAAAGGCUGGUGGCAGCAGGGAUUCUUCCAGGUGGAAGAGCCGAUUCACAUUGUGAAGAACAAGAAGAGGCUAAUUCUAUCAAACCUGUUGACUUCAGUCAGCCUGAAACAUUAAAAAUGCAUCAGCCUGGUUUAGUGGCUCUGCAGCACGCUGGCAUUCCGUGUAGUUCCUGUGGCGCGUUCAUUUCCCUCCAGAGGAACGUAUGAAAUACAGGCAACAUUUGGAGUGGAAUUUCCAGCAGAACAGGUGUCUGAAGGACAGUGGUGACAAUCAGAGUAGAGGCUGGUAUAUUAAUAUCUCAGAUUGGAUGCAGCAUGAGGAAAUUGAAGAUCCAGAGGAAACAGGUGGUUCCACUAUGGAUGCCAGAUUUGGUGACAUUGAGCGAUUCCCAAUAGUUUAUAAGCAAAGAAAUCCUACUGCAACCUCAGUCCUCCAGGCCAGGAAAAUUUCAGUGUGGACCUUUGCAGUGGAUUGAUGUUGGACAUCCUAACAUGCGAUGUGGUCGUUGGGAACUUGAACCAAAUAAUCCCUGGAGACAUGAGAGAACCUCAGCCAGCUUAACUCAAGUUCACUUGGGCAGUCAUCCAGACCCAAACCAAAGAUAUGGUUACACCUUUCAUGAAAUAUUGGGACCAGAAUUUCAAGUAGUUAACAAUUCUGGUGGAAUUAACCAGCAGAGACCUCUGCACUUUCAGUGUUAUGCAUGGUUUAAAGGUUGUGCAGAGAGAUGAGUUGAUGGAUGGCACAGGUUUCUGCAAAUUGUUAGCAACCUAAAUAUCAGUAAGACUGUAAAGUUCACUACCCUGAAGACCACAUUCCACACCUUAACAACCAUAGAAACCUCCUGUCUGAUAUCCAUAGUUCACCGACGUGAAUGUCAAUAGCUAGAGCACCAGGUUGUAUAGUCCAUAAGUUAGGGUUGUGUGUGUAGAUAAAUUAUUGUUGAGAGAGUGAACUGUUUUAUGAUCUGCUUGAUCUGAGAACAUUAAGAGUGAUAGCCUAGUGGCAUGCCAGCUACUUGAACUAAGUAAAUAUUGCAAAGCAUAAUAGUUAUUUAACUGGUCAAUAAAUGCCCUACCUUUCAUGGAACCGUAAGAUUAUUACUGUGUUCAUUGAUCCUGUGGCAUUCUAGCAGCUGAUACCAUUUUUAGCUUCUAAUAUAGGGAAACAAAUACUUUAUGUUUAUUUACAACCUUCAGACUUUUAUUUUAUUUCAUUAUAAAUCUCUGUAACAUGCACUAAGAUAAAUAUGUUUUCAAACUCCAAGACAUUCAUGAAAUGUAAUUAAGGUUACAAUGUUAAUCACCCCAAUCCCCAAUACAUAUACUGUAGGCCUCAAUAAAGUAAUAAAUUUGUAACUGGUUAUACAUGAUGUACUUCAUGAUACAAAUAAAUGACAAUGUACAAUCAAGAGUCA
Molecule: long non-coding RNA, 1744 nt
Organism: Cryptotermes secundus
Lineage: Eukaryota; Metazoa; Arthropoda; Insecta; Blattodea; Kalotermitidae
Exons: 5
Source: RefSeq, a predicted model, not a curated record